Molecule: ribosomal RNA, 406 nt
Filed under: uncultured bacterium
Lineage: Bacteria
Description: partial 16S ribosomal RNA
Rfam family: Bacterial small subunit ribosomal RNA
Source: RNAcentral
AUUGAACGCUGGCGGCAGGCCUAACACAUGCAAGUCGAGCGAGCGGCGGACGGGUGAGUAAUGUAUGGGGAACUGCCUGAUAGAGGGGGAUAACUACUGGAAACGGUGGCUAAUACCGCAUACUAUCGGAUGUACCCAGAUGGGAUUAGCUAGUAGGUGGGGUAAAGGCUCACCUAGGCGACGAUCCCUAGCUGGUCUGAGAGGAUGACCAGCCACACUGGAACUGAGACACGGUCCAGACUCCUACGGGAGGCAGCAGUAGGGAAUCUUCGACAAUGGACGAAAGUCUGACCGAGCAACGCCGCGUGUAUGAAGAAGGUUUUCGGAUCGUAAAACUCUUUUGUCGGGGAAGCGUUAUCUGACCAGGAAGCCCCGGCUAACUCCGUGCCAGCAGCCGCGGUAAUAC